Molecule: ribosomal RNA, 235 nt
Filed under: uncultured bacterium
Lineage: Bacteria
Description: partial 16S ribosomal RNA
Rfam family: Bacterial small subunit ribosomal RNA
Source: RNAcentral
UGAGCAAUCUGCCCUUCUCAUCGGAAUAAGCGUUGGAAACGACGUCUAAUGCCGAAUACGACCUCCUUUCGCAUGAUCGGAGGUGGAAAGCUCCGGCGGAGAAGGAUGAGCUCGCGGCCUAUCAGCUAGUUGGUGUGGGUAACGGCCCACCAAGGCGACGACGGGUAGCCGGCCUGAGAGGGUGACCGGCCGCACUGGGACUGAGACACGGCCCAGACUCCUACGGGAGGNAGCG